GAACGCUGGCGGCGUGCUUAACACAUGCAAGUCGAGCGGAAAGGCCCUUCGGGGUACUCGAGCGGCGAACGGGUGAGUAACACGUGAGUAACCUGCCCUCAACUCUGGGAUAAGCCUGGGAAACCGGGUCUAAUACCGGAUAUGACCUUCUGCGGCAUCGCGGGGGGUGGAAAGUUUUUUCGGUUGGGGAUGGGCUCGCGGCCUAUCAGCUUGUUGGUGGGGUAGUGGCCUACCAAGGCGACGACGGGUAGCCGGCCUGAGAGGGCGACCGGCCACACUGGGACUGAGACACGGCCCAGACUCCUACGGGAGGCAGCAGUGGGGAAUAUUGCGCAAUGGGCGGAAGCCUGACGCAGCGACGCCGCGUGGGGGAUGACGGCCUUCGGGUUGUAAACCUCUUUCAGCAGGGACGAAUUCAGACGUGUACCUGUAGAAGAAGCGCCGGCUAACUACGUGCCAGCAGCCGCGGUAAUACGUAGGGCGCGAGCGUUGUCCGGAAUUAUUGGGCGUAAAGAGCUCGUAGGUGGCUU
This 530-nucleotide ribosomal RNA is filed under the name Sphaerisporangium krabiense. Its description in RNAcentral is "bacterial SSU rRNA". It matches the Rfam family "Bacterial small subunit ribosomal RNA", at positions 31 to 581 of the family's 1533-position model. Lineage: Bacteria; Bacillati; Actinomycetota; Actinomycetes; Streptosporangiales; Streptosporangiaceae. The record is from RNAcentral.